GUGUGCAGUGCCCUACCCAGCCAGGUGCAGUUCAUGUAGAAUCGGUGUACUGUGCCCUGUAUGGGUAGUGUAAGGCUCA
Molecule: non-coding RNA, 79 nt
Organism: Bos taurus (domestic cattle)
Lineage: Eukaryota; Metazoa; Chordata; Mammalia; Artiodactyla; Bovidae
Source: Rfam